AUGUUAUAAUCAAAUAAUGAAAAUAAAAAUAAAAAAAAAUUAAAAAAGUAAUAAACAACAAAAAAAAAAAAAGUAAAGAAAAGAAAAAAACAGUUAAAAGAAGAAAAAUUUGGAAAAAGGAAGUUAAAAUAAAAUAAACCAACCAUGAUAUUUGGAAAAAAGAAAGGUUUUUAAAAUCAGAAGUAAUAUAGGAAUAUUAUAGUUAUAGAAAAUAUAUUUUGUUAAUAUAAUAAAUGAAAUUGGGAUAGAAAAAAUAGCUAAACAAAAAAAAAAUAAAAAAAAAGAAGAAGAAGAAGAAGAAGAACAAAAAAAAAAAUAUAUAUAUAAUAUAUAACUCUCUCUCAUACCACAUAUAUAUAUAUAUAUAUAUAUAUAUAUAUAUAUAUAUAUAUACUCAUAUACAUAUAUACAUAUAAAGCUUACAUCAUCUAUAUAAUAAAUAGACAUAUUUCGAAUUAGCAAAUUAAUUAAAAAAAAAAAGAAAAAACAAAUUUUUUAUUUUUUUUUUUUCUAUGAACAAAAUGACGAAAGAAAGAGAGCCAAUCGAUGAAGAUGAAAUGAGAAUAACCUCAACAGGACGUAUGACGAAUUAUGUUAAUUAUGGAGCAAAAUUAUUAGGAGAUGAAGACAGAAAAAGUUUAAAAAUUAAAGCAACAGGUAAUGCUAUUGGUAAAGCUGUAACAUUAGCAGAAAUAAUAAAAAGAAGAUUUAAAGGAUUACAUCAAAUAACAAAAUGUGGAAGUACAGUAAUUACUGAUCAAUAUAUGAGUAGCCAAGACAAUAAUGAGCAUGUAGUACAAGAAAGAACCGUUUCUUUUAUUGAUAUCCAUCUAUCAAGAGAUCAAUUAGAUGUUAAAGAUGCUGGUUACCAAUCACCACUAGAUGAGAAAUAUGUUAAAGAAAUGUCACCAGAAGAAAUAGUUAGUAGACCAUUCAGAGGUAGAGGAUUUAGACCAAGAUAUUUUAGAGGAUUUAGAGGCGGUAGAGGUGGUUUUUCAAGAAGAGGUGGUUAUAGACAUUUUAAUGAUAGGCUAUAUGAUGGAAGAAGUAGUUUUAGAGGUAGUAGAGGAUAUGGUGGUAGUUUUGGAAGAGGUGGUUAUAGAUCAAGUGGUGGUGGUGGUAGAGGUGGUUUUAGAGGAAGCAGAAACAUAUCUUAA
RNAcentral lists this long non-coding RNA (1157 nucleotides) under Piliocolobus tephrosceles (Ugandan red Colobus). Its description in RNAcentral is "lncRNA (ENSPTEG00000014733.1)". The record is from RNAcentral. Lineage: Eukaryota; Metazoa; Chordata; Mammalia; Primates; Cercopithecidae.